CUGACGAGGUUCGUAGAAAGUUUCUCUGGAUGAUAUUAGUGCGAUUGAGUAAGAACAACGGCAUCAUUGACAACGUUCAUGUGGUCAAUUCUGUAGCUAAAUGUGAGAAGGGAAUACCAUGAAAACUUCUCUAAAAGUUCAAGCAUGAUGAGACAUUCUGGUGGAGUGUCAACAUUGGAGGACAAAACAAGCUCUCAAAUGCAGACAAUGUCACAGCUGCUGCGUUGAAUUCACGGACAGUCUCAAGCGUGUUAACGUACCCAGUAGACAUGAUUGACGGCACUCUCACCACACAUACCGGAAGGCGGGAAUCCUUGUGCAUAGCUACAUAUAGUAAUCGGCUGAGGUCGUGCUAUAACCUAACAUGAUUUAGAGAGAAGCUUGGCGAGGCUGAAAGAUAGAAAAUGAGACAAGAAUAGUUUCUAUAGUGAAGUGCGGUGCCCACUCUCCAGCAACCGCAACAAACACGUGGGCGUCGCACAAGUACAACACUGAAAUGUAGUUGUGGGGCGCGGGGACAACUGGAGAGAUUUCUCCUAGCUUGGUACAGAAGCUGUCACUGGUGACGAUGAUCGACCCUCAGCCUAUUACGUUUGGCGGAUCACAGGAAGUUCUACCUCUUGAUUAAUUACGAUGGUGUAAGGUUGGGUUCUUACAGGGCACUUGGCGAGACCGGCACGCGUAUAGAAAGAAGGGGUGCCGUCGAAGCGUGAAGCACCAUCGAUCAGGGGCAAUCUGAAUUGUAAGAGGUCUCGUAAGGACGUUUGUGACUUACCUGCAGCAUUGAAUCUAUCUUUCAGCGGUACG
Molecule: non-coding RNA, 807 nt
Organism: Physcomitrium patens
Lineage: Eukaryota; Viridiplantae; Streptophyta; Bryopsida; Funariales; Funariaceae
Source: RefSeq, a predicted model, not a curated record